Molecule: ribosomal RNA, 252 nt
Filed under: uncultured bacterium
Lineage: Bacteria
Description: partial 16S ribosomal RNA
Rfam family: Bacterial small subunit ribosomal RNA
Source: RNAcentral
ACGGGGGGAGCAAGCGUUGUCCGGAAUUACUGGGCGUAAAGGGCGUGUAGGCGGUUUAAUAAGUCAGAUGUAAAAGCCCCCGGCUCAACCGGGGAUGGUCAUUUGAAACUGUUAGGCUUGAGUGUGAGAGAGGGUAGUGGAAUUCCCAGUGUAGCGGUGAAAUGCGUAGAUAUUGGGAAGAACACCAGUAGCGAAGGCGGCUACCUGGCUCACAACUGACGCUAAGGCGCGAAAGCGUGGGGAGCAAACAGG